GACGAACGCUGGCGGCGUGCCUAAUACAUGCAAGUCGAACGCACAGUUUAUACCGUAGCUUGCUACACCAUAAACUGUGAGUUGCGAACGGGUGAGUAACGCGUAGGUAACCUGCCUGGUAGCGGGGGAUAACUAUUGGAAACGAUAGCUAAUACCGCAUAAUAUUGAUUAUUGCAUGAUAAUUGAUUGAAAGAUGCUAUUGCAUCACUACCAGAUGGACCUGCGUUGUAUUAGCUAGUAGGUGAGGUAACGGCUCACCUAGGCGACGAUACAUAGCCGACCUGAGAGGGUGAUCGGCCACACUGGGACUGAGACACGGCCCAGACUCCUACGGGAGGCAGCAGUAGGAAAUCUUCGGCAAUGGACGAAAGUCUGACCGAGCAACGCCGCGUGAGUGAAGAAGGUUUUCGGAUCGUAAAGCUCUGUUGUAAGAGAAGAACGGGUGUGAGAGUGGAAAGUUCACACUGUGACGGUAUCUUACCAGAAAGGGACGGCUAACUACGUG
RNAcentral lists this ribosomal RNA (505 nucleotides) under uncultured bacterium. Its description in RNAcentral is "partial 16S ribosomal RNA". It matches the Rfam family "Bacterial small subunit ribosomal RNA", at positions 28 to 507 of the family's 1533-position model. The record is from RNAcentral.